GUGUCAGCAGCCGCGGUAAUACGGAGGGUGCGAGCGUUAAUUGGAAUGACUGGGCGUAAAGGGCAUGUAGGCGGAUAAUUAAGUUAGGUGUGAAAGCCCUGGGCUCAACCUAGGAAUUGCACUUAAAACUGGUUAACUAGAGUAUUGUAGAGGAAGGUAGAAUUCCACGUGUAGCGGUGAAAUGCGUAGAGAUGUGGAGGAAUACCGGUGGCGAAGGCGGCCUUCUGGACAGAUACUGACGCUGAGAUGCGAAAGCGUGGGGAGCAAACAGGAUUAGAAACCCUCGUAGUCC
This 292-nucleotide ribosomal RNA is filed under the name uncultured Gilliamella sp. RNAcentral's name for it is "partial 16S ribosomal RNA". It matches the Rfam family "Bacterial small subunit ribosomal RNA", at positions 505 to 796 of the family's 1533-position model. Lineage: Bacteria; Pseudomonadati; Pseudomonadota; Gammaproteobacteria; Orbales; Orbaceae. The record is from RNAcentral.